CGACUACAUGAAGAAGUUGUUGGAGAGGAUUUGCCGACUGUAGGUUCCGAGCCAGACACGUCGCUGGCAUAGUCAGCGGUGAUGGGGCGGUCAGCGGAGGCCGUGUGCUUUACAGGUCUUGUGGUCUCUUUACCUGAUUAGGAUCCUAAUGAAGUUCGUUGGUGGCUGCAGUAAAAUUGUGGUUGGGCGCUGUUGAUUUUGUGGUGGUAGGCUGUUUUUUGAUUCGGUCCACUGUGCCGGACAGGUGACGGCCGGUGUGGUUGUUAUUCUACAGGCCAAGCUGAAUAUACACCCCCUUGGAUAGAAAAAAGUUCAUCAUAAUCACUACGUCAUCUGCUAAUUCACUUCAUGGGAUCACCACUUCUAUCAAGUGGAAUCUACCGUGCCAUCGCUUCAGAUGCAGGCAGCAUAUAUUACUACCAAACCUUGAAAAGCCAUUGGAAACAACCCUGCAACCUUCUCCGACAGUA
Triticum dicoccoides is the source of this 470-nucleotide long non-coding RNA. RefSeq lists it as uncharacterized. Lineage: Eukaryota; Viridiplantae; Streptophyta; Magnoliopsida; Poales; Poaceae. The record is from RefSeq and is a predicted model, not a curated record. The transcript is spliced from 3 exons.